GAACAAUGUAGGUAAGGGAAGUCGGCAAGUUCGAUCCGUAACUUCGGGACAAGGAUUGGCUCUGAGGACUGGGCCCGUCGGGCUGGGGUCCGAAGCGGGUGUGGCACUGCACCGGGACUGGGCGAGACUGGCCGUGAAAGCGGUCCGGUCCGGCCCGGACCAGCGUCGGGGCCUUCCCGUGGAAUGCCUCAGCUGCGCGGAGCACCGGGCACAAAGCUCGGAGCGACCGUUUCGGCGGGCAACUAACAGCCGACUCAGAACUGGCACGGACUAAGGGAAUCCGACUGACAAUAACUGUAUUCACAUUAACAUAACUUACUGCC
This 323-nucleotide non-coding RNA is filed under the name Stegodyphus mimosarum. RNAcentral's name for it is "Eukaryotic large subunit ribosomal RNA". It matches the Rfam family "Eukaryotic large subunit ribosomal RNA", at positions 1893 to 2173 of the family's 3401-position model. Lineage: Eukaryota; Metazoa; Arthropoda; Arachnida; Araneae; Eresidae. The record is from Rfam by way of RNAcentral.